UGGCACCUCGAUGUCGGCUCAUCACAUCCUGGGGCUGAAGCAGGUCCCAAGGGUUUGGCUGUUCGCCAAUUAAAGUGGUACGUGAGCUGGGUUUAAAACGUCGUGAGACAGUUUGGUCCCUAUCUUUCGUGGGCGUAGGAUAUUUGAGAGGCUCUGUUACUAGUACGAGAGGACCGUAAUGGACGAACCUCUGGUGUUCCAGUUGUCGCGCCAGCGGCAUAGCUGGGUAGCUAUGUUCGGAAAGGAUAACCGCUGAAAGCAUAUAAGCGGGAAGCCUCCCUCAAGAUAAGAUAUCCCCU
This 299-nucleotide ribosomal RNA is filed under the name uncultured Symbiodinium. Its description in RNAcentral is "partial Bacterial large subunit ribosomal RNA". It matches the Rfam family "Bacterial large subunit ribosomal RNA", at positions 2519 to 2817 of the family's 2925-position model. Lineage: Eukaryota; Dinophyceae; Suessiales; Symbiodiniaceae. The record is from RNAcentral.